Molecule: ribosomal RNA, 492 nt
Filed under: uncultured bacterium
Lineage: Bacteria
Description: partial 16S ribosomal RNA
Rfam family: Bacterial small subunit ribosomal RNA
Source: RNAcentral
AGUGAACGCUGGCGGUAGGCCUAACACAUGCAAGUCGAACGGCAGCACAGUAAGAGCUUGCUCUUACGGGUGGCGAGUGGCGGACGGGUUAGGAAUACAUCGGAAUCUACUUUUUCGUGGGGGAUAACGUAGGGAAACUUACGCUAAUACCGCAUACGACCUACGGGUGAAAGCAGGGGAUCUUCGGACCUUGCGCGAUUGAAUGAGCCGAUGUCGGAUUAGCUAGUUGGCGGGGUAAAGGCCCACCAAGGCGACGAUCCGUAGCUGGUCUGAGAGGAUGAUCAGCCACACUGGAACUGAGACACGGUCCAGACUCCUACGGGAGGCAGCAGUGGGGAAUAUUGGACAAUGGGCGCAAGCCUGAUCCAGACAUACCGCGUGGGUGAAGAAGGCCUUCGGGUUGUAAAGACCUUUUGUUGGGAAAGAAAAGCAGCAGGUUAAUACCCCGCUGUUCUGACGGUACCCAAAGAAUAAGCACCGGCUAACUUCGUG